Phodopus roborovskii (desert hamster) is the source of this 204-nucleotide small nucleolar RNA. RefSeq annotates it as small nucleolar RNA SNORA73 family. The record is from RefSeq and is a predicted model, not a curated record. Lineage: Eukaryota; Metazoa; Chordata; Mammalia; Rodentia; Cricetidae. The transcript has a single exon.
CGAACAUGGAUACCCUAGGAGGUCCCUCUCCCUGGGCUCUGUUCUAGUGUCUUAGGGGAGCACAGGGCUCUGCUCUGUUAUGUACUGUCCCUUUCCACAACAUUGGAGGUGAAGCUGGGCUACCAGUCUAUGCCUGCAUAUUCCUACAAUUUCUCAGAGUCCUGUGGAUGGUGACAGAGGAGACAACCCAUGCAGGAAACAAAA